Molecule: ribosomal RNA, 253 nt
Filed under: uncultured bacterium
Lineage: Bacteria
Description: partial 16S ribosomal RNA
Rfam family: Bacterial small subunit ribosomal RNA
Source: RNAcentral
UACGAAGGGUGCAAACGUUGCUCGGAAUUAUUGGGCGUAAAGCGCACGUAGGCGGCUUUGCAAGUCGGAUGUGAAAUCCCUCGGCUCAACCAAGGAAGUGCAUCCGAAACUGCAGAGCUUGAGUACUUAAGAGGAUCGCGGAAUUCCCGGUGUAGAGGUGAAAUUCGUAGAUAUCGGGAGGAACACCAGUGGCGAAGGCGGCGAUCUGGGAAGAUACUGACGCUGAGGUGCGAAAGCGUGGCGAGCAAACAGG